UACAGAGGGGGCAAGCGUUAUUCGGAAUUAUUGGGCGUAAAGGGCGCGUAGGCGGCUUUGCAAGUGACGGGUGAAAGCCCUCGGCUUAACCGAGGAACUGCCUGUCAGACUGUAAGGCUUGAGACCGGGAGAGGUGAGUGGAAUUCCCAGUGUAGCGGUGAAAUGCGUAGAUAUUGGGAGGAACACCAGUGGCGAAGGCGGCUCACUGGACCGGAACUGACGCUGAGGAGCGAAAGCGUGGGUAGCAAACAGG
Molecule: ribosomal RNA, 253 nt
Filed under: uncultured bacterium
Lineage: Bacteria
Description: partial 16S ribosomal RNA
Rfam family: Bacterial small subunit ribosomal RNA
Source: RNAcentral